UAUAUUUUAGUGUUAAAUGCACAAAAGAUUUUGAUUCUUUAAGUUAUAGAGUGAUCUAUAAAAUAUAA
Molecule: transfer RNA, 68 nt
Filed under: Eysarcoris rosaceus
Lineage: Eukaryota; Metazoa; Arthropoda; Insecta; Hemiptera; Pentatomidae
Description: tRNA-Gln
Source: RNAcentral